CACCGCCCGACCUGGUGCGCUUGUAUUCAAAAUUUGAACGUAUGGCGUACUCCCUUAAAGCCUUGUGAAAAGCAUUUGUAUCUUCAAAUUCUUGGCCUUCUUUUAAAACUAACAUAAUUUUCGGCAUGUCAUUAACACAACUACCAACCACCUUGUCAUGGAAUUCUUGAUUAUCCAUCAACAAGCAGUCCACUUUACGUAAAUCAUUUGAUGCGCUUGGAACAUCAUUGUUAUUGACAUUAGUAUUAUAGAAUCAAUGAACUGCAUAAUUGCAAACACAAACAAAUUGGUAUUUCAGGUACCUGGGAUUCACAGUGGGGAUUGAAAGGUUUUGGCCACGAAAAAUGAAGAGCUGAAUAGGCUCGCUGCUUUGAGGAAAUGCUUCCAUCAUAUUGGAUACGUCAUCAUCAUUCUCAAUCGACACAAGUGAAUCCAAAUCUAGACCAGGAUAUUUGUACUCGAUGCUGCUAAUGUCGGUAAACUUGCAAAUCCCAUGCACUUUAGA
Molecule: long non-coding RNA, 505 nt
Organism: Magnolia sinica
Lineage: Eukaryota; Viridiplantae; Streptophyta; Magnoliopsida; Magnoliales; Magnoliaceae
Exons: 2
Source: RefSeq, a predicted model, not a curated record